UUCUUGAUUCAGAUUUUGGUGAGUGGCGGACGGGUGAGUAACACGUGGGUAACCUGCCCAAAAGUGGGGGAUAACAUUUGGAAACAAGUGCUAAUACCGCAUAACAACUGCUUUCACAUGAUCGCAGCUUGAAAGAUGGCUCUGCUAUCGCUUUUGGAUGGACCCGCGGCGUAUUAGCUAGUUGGUGAGGUAAUAGCUCACCAAGGCAAUGAUACGUAGCCGACCUGAGAGGGUAAUCGGCCACAUUGGGACUGAGACACGGCCCAAACUCCUACGGGAGGCAGCAGUAGGGAAUCUUCCACAAUGGGCGAAAGCCUGAUGGAGCAAUGCCGCGUGAGUGAAGAAGGUUUUCGGAUCGUAAAACUCUGUUGUUGAAGAAGAAC
RNAcentral lists this ribosomal RNA (383 nucleotides) under Lactobacillus sp. RNAcentral describes it as "bacterial SSU rRNA". It matches the Rfam family "Bacterial small subunit ribosomal RNA", at positions 71 to 450 of the family's 1533-position model. The record is from RNAcentral. Lineage: Bacteria; Bacillati; Bacillota; Bacilli; Lactobacillales; Lactobacillaceae.